Molecule: small RNA, 71 nt
Filed under: Flavobacterium sp. 9AF
Lineage: Bacteria; Pseudomonadati; Bacteroidota; Flavobacteriia; Flavobacteriales; Flavobacteriaceae
Description: Flavo-1 RNA
Rfam family: Flavo-1 RNA
Source: Rfam by way of RNAcentral
UUUUAACCCUGAUGGAAGUGAUAGCUUUCUAAAAUUAAUUUUAGAAACUAAAACGAACAGCAGGUACAAGG